UUAAGUUCAGCGGGUAUCCCUACCUGAUCCGAGGUCAACCAUAGAAAAUUAGGGGUUGAUGGCAAGCAUCCACCGGGACUCUAUAGCGAGAAGUAUUACUACGCUUAGAGCCAGGUGGCACCGCCACUAGUUUUAAGGGCUGCCGGUAACAGCAAGCCCCAACACCAAGCUAGGCUUGAGGGUUAUAAUGACGCUCGAAC
RNAcentral lists this unclassified non-coding RNA (200 nucleotides) under Leotiomycetes sp. RNAcentral describes it as "partial internal transcribed spacer 2". The record is from RNAcentral. Lineage: Eukaryota; Fungi; Ascomycota; Leotiomycetes.